Molecule: ribosomal RNA, 408 nt
Filed under: uncultured bacterium
Lineage: Bacteria
Description: partial 16S ribosomal RNA
Rfam family: Bacterial small subunit ribosomal RNA
Source: RNAcentral
AGUGAACGCUGGCGGCGUGCCUAAUACAUGCAAGUCGAACGGAGUGGCGCACGGGUGUGUAAUGUAUAUCUAAUCUGCCCUACACUAGAGGACAACAGUUUGAAACGGCUGCUAAUACUCUAUAGUGUAUGAUGAGGCUAUUUUGUAUCAGCUAGUUGGUGAGGUAAUGGUUCACCAAGGCUAUGACGCAUAACUGGUCUGAGAGGAUGAUCAGUAACACGGGAACGGAGACACGGUCCAGACGCAUACGGGAGGCAGCAGUAGGGAAUAUUGCCCAAUGGGGGAAACCCUGAAGCAGCAACGCCGCGUGGAGGAUGACACUUUUCGGAGCGUAAACUCCUUUUGUUAGGGAAGCGGUAACUGAAGAAUAAGCACCGGCUAACUACGUGCCAGCAGCCGCGGUAAUUC